The sequence is a ribosomal RNA, 637 nucleotides long. The stretch from base 218 to 371 matches the Rfam family "5.8S ribosomal RNA".
UAGGACUCGGAGGACAUUAACGAGUUUUGAAGGGGUUGUAGCUGGCCUUCCGAGGCAUGUGCACGCCCUGCUCAUUCCACUCUACACCUGUGCACUUACUGUGGGUCUCAGGCGAGCGUCGGUCGCUUCGCGGCGUCCGUCGUUCAACUGGGCUCACGUUUUACUACAAACUAUUAAAGUAUCAAAAUGUCUACUGCAAAUUAACGCAUUUAAAUACAACUUUCAGCAACGGAUCUCUUGGCUCUCGCAUCGAUGAAAAACGCAGCGAAAUGCAAUAAGUAAUGUGAAUUGCAAAAUUCAGUGAAUCAUCAAAUCUUUGAACGCACCUUGCGCUCCUUGGUAUUCCAAGGAGCAUGCCUGUUUGAGUGUCAUGAAAUUCUCAACCUAACGAGUCUUUGCGGGCUCGGUAGGCUUGGACUUGGAGGUUCUUGUCGGCCUAACGGUCGGCUCCUCUUAAAUGCAUUACCUCGGUUCCUUGCGGAUCGGCUCACGGUGUGAUAAUUGUCUACGCCGCGACCGUUGAAGCGUUUUGGCCGGCUUCUAAUCGUCUCGUUGGAAACACUACUCUUUAUGACCUUCUGACCUCAAAUCAGGUAGGACUACCCGCUGAACUUAAGCAUAUCUAAAGCCGGAAGAA